RNAcentral lists this ribosomal RNA (478 nucleotides) under uncultured bacterium. RNAcentral's name for it is "bacterial SSU rRNA". It matches the Rfam family "Bacterial small subunit ribosomal RNA", at positions 50 to 560 of the family's 1533-position model. The record is from RNAcentral.
AACACAUGCAAGUCGAACGAGAAAGUGGAGCAAUCCAUGAGUACAGUGGCGUACGGGUGAGUAACACGUGACUAACCUACCCUCGAGUGGGGAAUAACUUCGGGAAACCGAGGCUAAUACCGCAUAACAUCUACGGAUCAAAUGCGUAAGCAGCUUGAGGAGGGGGUCGCGGCUGAUUAGCUAGUUGGCGGGGUAAUGGCCCACCAAGGCAGUGAUCAGUAGCCGGCCUGAGAGGGCGCACGGCCACACUGGAACUGAAACACGGUCCAGACUCCUACGGGAGGCAGCAGUGGGGAAUUUUGCGCAAUGGGGGAAACCCUGACGCAGCAACGCCGCGUGGAGGAUGAAGCCCUUUGGGGUGUAAACUCCUUUCGAUCGGGACGAUUAUGACGGUACCGGAUGAAGAAGCACCGGCUAACUCUGUGCCAGCAGCCGCGGUAAUACAGAGGGUGCAAGCGUUGUUCGGAAUUAUUGGGCG